AGCAGCCGCGGUAAUUCCAGCUCCAAUAGCGUAUAUUAAAGUUGUUGCAGUUAAAAAGCUCGUAGUUGAAUUUCGGAGUUUGUCGGUUGGUCGGGCUUCACUGUCCGCACUGACCUGAUGGAUUCCUACCUUCUGAAUAACCAGCAUGCUAUUAAGUUAGUGCGUUGGGGAGGCAGAGCUAUUACCUUGAAAAAAUUAGAGUGCUUAAAGCAGGCUUAUGCUUGAAUAGAUUAGCAUGGAAUAAUAAAAUAGGACGGCAUGGUUCUAUUUUGUUGGUUUCUAGGAUCACCGUAAUGAUUAAUAGGGAUAGUUGGGGGCAUUAGUAUUCAAUUGUCAGAGGUGAAAUUCUUGGAUUUAUUGAAGACUAACUUCUGCGAAAGCAUUUGCCAAGGAUGUUUUCAUUAAUCAAGAACGAAAGUUAGGGGAUCGAAGACGAUCAGAUACCGUCGUAGUCUUAACCAUAAACUAUGCCGACUAGGGAUCGGACGAUGUUAAUUUUUUAAUGACUCG
RNAcentral lists this ribosomal RNA (510 nucleotides) under uncultured Acaulospora. Its description in RNAcentral is "SSU rRNA". It matches the Rfam family "Eukaryotic small subunit ribosomal RNA", at positions 569 to 1078 of the family's 1831-position model. The record is from RNAcentral. Lineage: Eukaryota; Fungi; Glomeromycota; Glomeromycetes; Diversisporales; Acaulosporaceae.